RNAcentral lists this ribosomal RNA (497 nucleotides) under uncultured bacterium. RNAcentral describes it as "partial 16S ribosomal RNA". It matches the Rfam family "Bacterial small subunit ribosomal RNA", at positions 29 to 507 of the family's 1533-position model. The record is from RNAcentral.
AGUGAACGCUGGCGGCAUGCCUAAUACAUGCAAGUCGAGCGACCGCACGGGAAGCUUUCUCCUCUACCGUUGGCGGCGGACGGAUGGGUGAGACGUACAUAGCAUACUUCUAUUACUGGGGGAACUUCGGGGAGCCAGUGACGCUACUAGCUCAUAUGUUCAACCGCAUGAUUCAAUAGUUCUACACGGUUUUCCUGUCACUUAUAGAUGAUUCCGCGUCGGAUUAGCUAGUUGGUAAGGUAACGGCUUACCAAGGCGACGAUGCGUAGCCGACCUGAGAGGGUGAUCGGCCACACUGGAACUGAGACACGGUCCAGACUCCUACGGGAGGCAGCAGUAGGGAAUCUUCCGCAAUGGGCGAAAGCCUGACGGAGCCAUGCCGCGUGAGUGAAGAAGGUCUUCGGAUUGUAAAACUCUGUUAUUAGGGAAGAACAAAUGUGUAAGUAACUAUGCACGUCUUGACGGUACCUAAACAGAAAGCCACGGCUAACUACGUG